GACGAACGCUGGCGGCGUGCUUAACACAUGCAAGUCGAACGGAAAGGCCCUGCUUUUGUGGGGUGCUCGAGUGGCGAACGGGUGAGUAACACGUGAGUAACCUGCCCUUGACUUUGGGAUAACUUCAGGAAACUGGGGCUAAUACCGGAUAGGAGCUCCUGCUGCAUGGUGGUGGUUGGAAAGUUUCGGCGGUGGGGGAUGGACUCGCGGCUUAUCAGCUUGUUGGUGGGGUAGUGGCUUACCAAGGCUUUGACGGGUAGCCGGCCUGAGAGGGUGACCGGCCACAUUGGGACUGAGAUACGGCCCAGACUCCUACGGGAGGCAGCAGUGGGGAAUAUUGCACAAUGGGCGGAAGCCUGAUGCAGCAACGCCGCGUGCGGGAUGACGGCCUUCGGGUUGUAAACCGCUUUCGCCUGUGACGAAGCGUGAGUGACGGUAAUGGGUAAAGAAGCACCGGCUAACUACGUG
RNAcentral lists this ribosomal RNA (468 nucleotides) under uncultured bacterium. RNAcentral describes it as "partial 16S ribosomal RNA". It matches the Rfam family "Bacterial small subunit ribosomal RNA", at positions 28 to 507 of the family's 1533-position model. The record is from RNAcentral.